RNAcentral lists this ribosomal RNA (428 nucleotides) under uncultured bacterium. Its description in RNAcentral is "bacterial SSU rRNA". It matches the Rfam family "Bacterial small subunit ribosomal RNA", at positions 355 to 776 of the family's 1533-position model. The record is from RNAcentral.
UCGAGAAUCUUUAGCAAUGGACGAAAGUCUGACUAUGCGACGCCGCGUGAGGGAUGAAGGUUUUCGGAUCGUAAACCUCUUUCGAAGGGAAAGAAAAUAUUCCGAAUAAUAUUCGGAAGACUGACGGUACCCUGAGAAGAAGCCACGGCCAACUCCGUGCCAGCAGCCGCGGUAAUACGGGGGUGGCAAGCGUUACUCGGAUUCAUUGGGUGUAAAGGGCAGGUAGGUGGCCUAAUAAGUAGAAGGUGAAAUCCCGUUGCUCAACAGCGGAACUGCCUUCUAAACUAUUGGGCUUGAGAUUGGGAGAGGAGAAUGGAAUUCCCGGUGUAAGGGUGAAAUCUGUAGAUAUCGGGAGGAACACCAGUGGCGAAAGCGAUUCUCUAGUCCAAUUCUGACACUGAACUGCGAAAGCUAGGGGAGCAAACAGG